This 253-nucleotide ribosomal RNA is filed under the name uncultured bacterium. RNAcentral describes it as "partial 16S ribosomal RNA". It matches the Rfam family "Bacterial small subunit ribosomal RNA", at positions 524 to 776 of the family's 1533-position model. The record is from RNAcentral.
UACGAAGGGGGCUAGCGUUGUUCGGAAUUACUGGGCGUAAAGGGCGCGUAGGCGGCCUGGCAAGUGACGGGUGAAAUCCCUCGGCUUAACCGAGGAACUGCCUGUCAGACUGCUGGGCUUGAGACCGGGAGAGGUGAGUGGAAUUCCCAGUGUAGCGGUGAAAUGCGUAGAUAUUGGGAGGAACACCAGUGGCGAAGGCGGCUCACUGGACCGGUACUGACGCUGAUGCGCGAAAGCGUGGGGAGCAAACAGG